This 363-nucleotide ribosomal RNA is filed under the name Triticum aestivum (bread wheat). RNAcentral describes it as "partial small subunit ribosomal RNA". Lineage: Eukaryota; Viridiplantae; Streptophyta; Magnoliopsida; Poales; Poaceae. The record is from RNAcentral.
AUGAGCCAUACAAUGAAGCUAUGGGAGAGAGUCAUUGAGCACCGCUUAAGAAGAAUGACAAGCGUGACCAAAAAUCAGUUUGGUUUCAUGCCUGGGAGGUCGACCAUGGAAGCCAUUUUCUUGGUACGACAACUUAUGGAGAGAUAUAGGGAGCAAAAGAAGGACUUGCAUAUGGUGUUCAUUGACUUGGAGAAGGCCUAUGAUAAGAUACCGCGGAAUGUCAUGUGGUGGGCCUUGGAGAAACACAAAGUCCCAGCAAAGUACAUUACCCUCAUCAAGGACAUGUACGAUAAUGUUGUGACAAGUGUUCGAACAAGUGAUGUCGACACUGAUGACUUCCCGAUUAAGAUAGGACUGCAUUAG